CAAAGUAUAGCUUAACUAAAGCAUCUCGCUUACACCGAAAAAAUAUCUGUGCGACUCAGAUUACUUUGA
RNAcentral lists this transfer RNA (69 nucleotides) under Nyctimantis bokermanni (Bokermann's casque-headed frog). Its description in RNAcentral is "tRNA-Val". It matches the Rfam family "tRNA". From Rfam's summary of the family: Transfer RNA (tRNA) molecules are approximately 80 nucleotides in length. Their secondary structure includes four short double-helical elements and three loops (D, anti-codon, and T loops). Lineage: Eukaryota; Metazoa; Chordata; Amphibia; Anura; Hylidae. The record is from RNAcentral.